Molecule: ribosomal RNA, 253 nt
Filed under: uncultured bacterium
Lineage: Bacteria
Description: partial 16S ribosomal RNA
Rfam family: Bacterial small subunit ribosomal RNA
Source: RNAcentral
UACGGAGGGUGCAAGCAUUAAUCGGAUUGAUUGGGCGUAAAGGGCGCGUAGGUGGGAAUGCAAGUCAGAUGUGAAAUCCCGGGGCUCAACCCCGGAACAGCAUUUGAAACUGCAUUUCUUGAGGGUAGGCGGGGAAAACGGAAUUCCACAUGUAGCGGUGAAAUGCGUAGAUAUGUGGAAGAACACCUGUGGCGAAAGCGGUUUUCUAGCUUACUCCUGACACUGAGGCGCGAAAGCAAGGGGAGCAAACAGG